GCCUGGGUGGCUCAGUUGGUUGAGCAUCUGACUUUAGCUCAGGUCAUGAUCUUGCUGUUCCUGAGUUCAAGUCUCAUGUCAGGCU
RNAcentral lists this transfer RNA (85 nucleotides) under Felis catus (domestic cat). It matches the Rfam family "tRNA". From Rfam's summary of the family: Transfer RNA (tRNA) molecules are approximately 80 nucleotides in length. Their secondary structure includes four short double-helical elements and three loops (D, anti-codon, and T loops). The record is from Rfam by way of RNAcentral. Lineage: Eukaryota; Metazoa; Chordata; Mammalia; Carnivora; Felidae. RNAcentral also lists the same sequence under 4 other names.